GGGUGAGUAACACGUGGGAACGUGCCCUUUGGUUCGGAACAACUCAGGGAAACUUGAGCUAAUACCGGAUGUGCCCUUCGGGGGAAAGAUUUAUCGCCAUUGGAGCGGCCCGCGUAGGAUUAGCUAGUUGGUGGGGUAAAGGCCCACCAAGGCUACGAUCCUUAGCUGGUCUGAGAGGAUGAUCAGCCACAUUGGGACUGAGACACGGCCCAAACUCCUACGGGAGGCAGCAGUGGGGAAUCUUGCGCAAUGGGCGAAAGCCUGACGCAGCCAUGCCGCGUGAAUGAUGAAGGUCUUAGGAUUGUAAAAUUCUUUCACCGGGGACGAUAAUGACGGUACCCGGAGAAGAAGCCCCGGCUAACUUCGUGCCAGCAGCCGCGGUAAUACGAAGGGGGCUAGCGUUGCUCGGAAUUACUGGGCGUAAAGGGAGCGUAGGCGGAUAGUUUAGUCAGAGGUGAAAGCCCAGGGCUCAACCUUGGAAUUGCCUUUGAUACUGGCUAUCUUGAGUACGGAAGAGGUAUGUGGAACUCCGAGUGUAGAGGUGAAAUUCGUAGAUAUUCGGAAGAACACCAGUGGCGAAGGCGACAUACUGGUCCGUUACUGACGCUGAGGCUCGAAAGCGUGGGGAGCAAACAGGAUUAGAUACCCUGGUAGUCCACGCUGUAAACGAUGAGUGCUAGUUGUCGGCAGGCAUGCCUGU
This 700-nucleotide ribosomal RNA is filed under the name Caulobacter sp. RNAcentral describes it as "bacterial SSU rRNA". It matches the Rfam family "Bacterial small subunit ribosomal RNA", at positions 104 to 840 of the family's 1533-position model. Lineage: Bacteria; Pseudomonadati; Pseudomonadota; Alphaproteobacteria; Caulobacterales; Caulobacteraceae. The record is from RNAcentral.